CGUGCAAAGAAGGAGGACAAUGAAGAUCCAUCACAAUCUGAGAUGUUUGUUGUAACUCGUACGAGCAAAAAAGGAGAGACUGAUUCAGGAACACAAGAGACAAUUGAACAUCUUCAAAAUUUGAAAGAAGCAGGAUAUAAUGAUGAUGAAGCAGUUCAAACAAUUUUCGGAAAGGAGAGACAUGGAAGAGUUCGUUUCUAUGGUCGAUCAGUCACAAAAUCCUCUCUUAAAAAGGAGAAGGAAAUCCGACAAAUGCAGCAACAACAUAAUGAAGUGGUUUCAACUAUGGAGAAAAAUUAAAAUAACUUAACUUCCAAGUUGGACGGUUUAACAAACUUGAUUAAAACAUUGUUGCAACAAGUCAAUCCUGGUAUGAGUGCAGAACAAGUGCAAGUAAUGAUAGAAGCUGCCCAACAAUCUCCGCCUGACGCGAGUAGUGCACCAAAUGAUGUGCGGCGAAGCAUUCCUCCUUCACUUGGAUCGAACCAUGUAUCAAAGGAUAUGGAAAAAGACAUGAUGUGAUGAAGAAAAUAUGUCCCAUACAAAUAUCACAUAGGAUGGGUCUUACAAUGACCUUAGCUAUGUAAAUGUAAUAUUUUGAUGUGUUAUG
Molecule: long non-coding RNA, 610 nt
Organism: Arachis duranensis
Lineage: Eukaryota; Viridiplantae; Streptophyta; Magnoliopsida; Fabales; Fabaceae
Exons: 3
Source: RefSeq, a predicted model, not a curated record